CUCAAUGCCAGAACAGUUACUUGAAUUUCAGAAUGUGAAUUAAGGGGCACACAGAUCCAGAAAAGGCUUUAUUAGGAAUGUUUAAGGUACAGUGUUGCAAACUUGAUUCGCACUGUAUUUUAAACAGAGUUGAAAACCCAAGGAAGCCACAACACAGGCUUUUUGACUACCAAGUUUGAGUAGCUACACAUUAUAUACAGAUUUAGCAAUGGUUUCCUGGAUUGCAAGACCCUGCCACACUGAGUUAAGUCAGACCAACUUGCAAAGGGCAUUUUUCCACGUUACCAGAAAGGCUCUGAAUAACAACCCCACUUCCCAGGUACCAUAGAGCAGGUCUGCUGGCCUGUUCCCCUCUCCUCAUGCGCUGGGGGCGUACUGCAUGGCAAGUCGAUCAAAGUCAUUCUCCUUUGCCUGAUACUCCUUUAUGAAUGGAUGAUUUUUAUGCGCAUCCUUCAACUGUGACAAAUAACGAUUUGUAACCUCUGGUGGUUUGCCCAAGUGUUGUGACAGGACAACGAAGUUGAUCAAGGUCUCAGGAUGGCCACUAUCCUUGUCCAGUGCCUCCUGAAGUACUCCCUCUGCAUCAUCCCACUUGCCCUGAGCCAUAUAGCAGGCUGCCUGCCCAUUAAGCAGGAGGAGGGUGGAGGAGCAUUUGUCUGCCAUCUCUUGGAAGAUGUAAUAGGCAUCCUGUAACUUCUC
This 699-nucleotide long non-coding RNA is filed under the name Gallus gallus (chicken). Lineage: Eukaryota; Metazoa; Chordata; Aves; Galliformes; Phasianidae. The record is from RNAcentral.